This 57-nucleotide microRNA precursor is filed under the name Triops cancriformis. Its description in RNAcentral is "microRNA tcf-mir-2788 precursor". Lineage: Eukaryota; Metazoa; Arthropoda; Branchiopoda; Notostraca; Triopsidae. The record is from miRBase by way of RNAcentral.
UGGGGGUUCUUGUGGGCAUAUGCCAUGCAAUGGGGCAAUGCCCUGAGAAAUCCCAGA